This 76-nucleotide transfer RNA is filed under the name Patescibacteria group bacterium. RNAcentral's name for it is "tRNA-Arg". It matches the Rfam family "tRNA". Rfam says of the family: Transfer RNA (tRNA) molecules are approximately 80 nucleotides in length. Their secondary structure includes four short double-helical elements and three loops (D, anti-codon, and T loops). The record is from RNAcentral.
GCGCCCGUAGCUCAGUGGAUAGAGCGUCUGGCUACGGACCAGAAGGUCGGGGGUUCGACUCCCUUCGGGCGCGCCA